This 759-nucleotide ribosomal RNA is filed under the name uncultured Bacteroidales bacterium. Its description in RNAcentral is "bacterial SSU rRNA". It matches the Rfam family "Bacterial small subunit ribosomal RNA", at positions 28 to 776 of the family's 1533-position model. Lineage: Bacteria; Pseudomonadati; Bacteroidota; Bacteroidia; Bacteroidales. The record is from RNAcentral.
GAUGAACGCUAGCUACAGGCUUAACACAUGCAAGUCGAGGGGCAGCAUGGUCUUAGCUUGCUAAGGCCGAUGGCGACCGGCGCACGGGUGAGUAACACGUAUCCAACCUGCCGUCUACUCUUGGACAGCCUUCUGAAAGGAAGAUUAAUACAAGAUGGCAUCAUGAGUCCGCAUGUUCACAUGAUUAAAGGUAUUCCGGUAGACGAUGGGGAUGCGUUCCAUUAGAUAGUAGGCGGGGUAACGGCCCACCUAGUCUUCGAUGGAUAGGGGUUCUGAGAGGAAGGUCCCCCACAUUGGAACUGAGACACGGUCCAAACUCCUACGGGAGGCAGCAGUGAGGAAUAUUGGUCAAUGGGCGAGAGCCUGAACCAGCCAAGUAGCGUGAAGGAUGACUGCCCUAUGGGUUGUAAACUUCUUUUAUAAAGGAAUAAAGUCGGGUAUGUAUACCCGUUUGCAUGUACUUUAUGAAUAAGGAUCGGCUAACUCCGUGCCAGCAGCCGCGGUAAUACGGAGGAUCCGAGCGUUAUCCGGAUUUAUUGGGUUUAAAGGGAGCGUAGAUGGAUGUUUAAGUCAGUUGUGAAAGUUUGCGGCUCAACCGUAAAAUUGCAGUUGAUACUGGAUAUCUUGAGUGCAGUUGAGGCAGGCGGAAUUCGUGGUGUAGCGGUGAAAUGCUUAGAUAUCACGAAGAACUCCGAUUGCGAAGGCAGCCUGCUAAGCUGCAACUGACAUUGAGGCUCGAAAGUGUGGGUAUCAAACAGG